AUUAUGAGGAAUAGCAUGGAAAGCUUCACAAAGAUGGUGACAUCAGUUCUGGGCUCUGAAGGAUGAACAGCAAAUUUCCACAUGGAGAAGAUAACAUUUCAGGCUGAAGGAAAAGCCUUCGUUUCCCUUGGUCCUGAGCUGCCAGACAAGGAAAUCGCCUGUGUUCUUGUUGCAACGCUUGUAAUCAAAUUCAGCAAAGUGAAACAAAAAUCCUGUAAUGGAAGUGACCAUACAACUCUUUCCAGGAUGUUCCUGGACAGCUCUCCAACAUCCUGCAAUUAGCCUAAAUGGAUGAGCUCCAUGAAAGAAGAUGAAAUGAGGAUGACUCUGAAGUGAAAGAUGCUUCAUUUGAAAAUGGAAAGAAGGACAUGGUGAUGCAUGAAUGUACUUCUACCAUUGAGAAAAUAGAAACAGGAGAACCUGAAACUCAAGGGCAUCCUCAGUUACAUAGUGGACAUGGGUCAUCUUGUGUUACAUGAGACCUGCUCUCAAACAAACAAACAAAAAAAAUGGACAUAAUUAAAAUAGUGUAUUCAAAAAUAUAUGAAAUAUUAAAAUGUAAAGUCUGAGGCUUA
Long non-coding RNA from Psammomys obesus (fat sand rat), 575 nucleotides. RefSeq lists it as uncharacterized. The transcript is spliced from 4 exons. NCBI's taxonomy places the organism in Eukaryota, Metazoa, Chordata, Mammalia, Rodentia, Muridae. The record is from RefSeq and is a predicted model, not a curated record.